GGCUGCUCUGAGUGCAGCAGUGUUUACAACUCACUGAUCACAACCAGUUAGAUUUUGUUUGUUCCUUCUCCAUUCCCACUGCUUCACCUGACUAGCCUUAA
Gorilla gorilla gorilla (western lowland gorilla) is the source of this 101-nucleotide unclassified non-coding RNA. It matches the Rfam family "Y RNA". From Rfam's summary of the family: Y RNAs are components of the Ro ribonucleoprotein particle (Ro RNP), in association with Ro60 and La proteins. Lineage: Eukaryota; Metazoa; Chordata; Mammalia; Primates; Hominidae. The record is from Ensembl.